UCCCUAUGGGGUGCAGCAGGCGCGAAACCUCUGCAAUAGGCGAAAGCCUGACAGGGUUAUUCUGAGUGACUUCCGCUAAGAAAGUCUUUUGACACCUCUAAAAAUGGUGUAGAAUAAGGGGUGGGCAAGUCUGGUGUCAGCCGCCGCGGUAAUACCAGCACCCCGAGUGGUCGGGACGUUUAUUGGGCCUAAAGCAUCCGUAGCCGGCUCUACAAAUCUUCCGUUAAAUCCAGCUGCUUAACAGAUGGGCUGCGGAAGAUACUAUGGAGCUAGGAGGCGGGAGAGGCAAGCGGUACUCGAUGGGUAGGGGUAAAAUCCGUUGAUCCAUUGAAGACCACCAGUGGCGAAGGCGGCUUGCCAGAAUGCGCUCGACGGUGAGGGAUGAAAGCUGGGGGAGCGAACCGGAUUAGACACCCGGGUAGUCCCAGCUGUAAACGAUGCGGGCUAGGUGUUAGGGCGGCUACGUGCUGCUCUAGUGCCGCAGAGAAGUCGUUAAGCCCGCCGCCUGGGAAGUACGAUCGCAAGGUUGAAACUUAAAGGAAUUGGCGGGGGAGCACCACCAGGCGUGAAGCCUGCGGUUUAAUUGGAUUCAACGCCGGAA
This 601-nucleotide ribosomal RNA is filed under the name uncultured archaeon. RNAcentral's name for it is "bacterial SSU rRNA". It matches the Rfam family "Archaeal small subunit ribosomal RNA", at positions 319 to 923 of the family's 1478-position model. The record is from RNAcentral.